Molecule: ribosomal RNA, 547 nt
Filed under: uncultured bacterium
Lineage: Bacteria
Description: partial 16S ribosomal RNA
Rfam family: Bacterial small subunit ribosomal RNA
Source: RNAcentral
UGGGGAAUUUUGGACAAUGGGCGAAAGCCUGAUCCAGCAAUGCCGCGUGUGUGAAGAAGGCCUUCGGGUUGUAAAGCACUUUUGUCCGGAAAGAAAUCCUUGGCUCUAAUACAGUCGGGGGAUGACGGUACCGGAAGAAUAAGUACCGGCUAACUACGUGCCAGCAGCCGCGGUAAUACGUAGGGUGCAAGCGUUAAUCGGAAUUACUGGGCGUAAAGCGUGCGCAGGCGGUUUGCUAAGACCGAUGUGAAAUCCCCGGGCUCAACCUGGGAACUGCAUUGGUGACUGGCAGGCUAGAGUAUGGCAGAGGGGGGUAGAAUUCCACGUGUAGCAGUGAAAUGCGUAGAGAUGUGGAGGAAUACCGAUGGCGAAGGCAGCCCCCUGGGCCAAUACUGACGCUCAUGCACGAAAGCGUGGGGAGCAAACAGGAUUAGAUACCCUGGUAGUCCACGCCCUAAACGAUGUCAACUAGUUGUUGGGGAUUCAUUUCCUUAGUAACGUAGCUAACGCGUGAAGUUGACCGCCUGGGGAGUACGGUCGCAAGAUU